Molecule: long non-coding RNA, 4095 nt
Organism: Papaver somniferum (opium poppy)
Lineage: Eukaryota; Viridiplantae; Streptophyta; Magnoliopsida; Ranunculales; Papaveraceae
Exons: 10
Source: RefSeq, a predicted model, not a curated record
UUUUGCACUCUUCGAAUUCGUUUUUGCUCUCCCUCUAACAAUUUUUUUUUUAUUUCACACAUUUCUCUCUCUCUUUCUAUUUUUCAUCGAAAGCUUUCUUGGUUUCAGCCGAGAGCGAAGAGAAAAACUUUUCUCUUCUUCACCAAAUCUGCAGUCUAAUCAAACCGCAUCUUCAAUGGAUUUUAGGUUUCAACAAGAAACCCAUCAUCUAAUCAAAACCCAUCAUCAAGAAAUCUCGAUCUACAAAUUAUUUCCCUGAAAUCUAAAAAUCAAAUCAUUCAACCUCUGAUAUAAACUAGUUUGUUGGAUUAUCAUCAGGUAUAAACUAGUUUGUUGGAUUAUCAUCAGGGUUGUUGGCUUUUAUUGCAUUUGCAUAUAAGAACAGACUUAGAGAUUCAAUAUACUGUCCCUGUCCUUGUCGUGUUUGUCGGUAUUCUCGUGGGUUGAUUUGGCAAUGGGUGGAUUGAAUGGAGACAGUCGAAGUUUGGCGGCGGAUGUGAAACCGAGAAUUACUGAAGAGUCUGUAGAGAAACCUUAGAUUUGGAAGUUAACUGAAAUCAACGAGCCAUCUCAAUGUCGUUCCUUAUGCCUUCUAGAUAAUUUUUUAGCUCUACGGUACGUCUUCUCUUAACUACAAUCUUGAGUAGUUUACCCACUAGCUUAGGUGUUGAAGGCGUGACAUGCAUCCUAUCUUGUUUCCAUCUCCGCUUCGAGUUACCUUUACAUCUGCCUUUAACUGGCUAAAGCUAGCUGAGCCUAAUACAUACAGCAGAUAUACAAGGAAAGGGUUGCCACACUUGCACUGUUUGGACCUAGACUCCUUAACAGUUUGUGAUCGACUUCUUUAAUUGAGGUUUCUAGAUUGAUUUACACGAAUUCAGGAAUUGCCCUAUUAGCUUUUAGCAGCUAAUGCGGUUCACAAGUUGUGGAAAUGGCAGAGGAAUGAUCGUAACACAACAGGAAAGGCAACCACCAACGUGCCACCUCAAUUAUGGCAACCCUCUAGUGGAAUACUAAUGACCAAUGAGAUCAGUGAUACAAAGCCUGAAGAUGCUGUUCCUUGCUUUGCACUUUCAAAGAAUGAUUCUUAUGUUACGUCGGCAUCAGGAGGAAAAAUAUCACUUUUCAAAAUGAUGACAUUUAAGACAAUGACGACAUUCGCAUCUCCACCUCCAACUGCGACUUUUCUGGCUUUCCAUCCACAGGACAAUAACAUCAUUGCCAUAUGAAUGGAGAAAAACUGCCAAAUAAGUUAUGAAUUAUCUGUAACUUUUAUUUGUGAUUACCUGCAGUUGUGAAUGGUCAGAUUAAAAGAAUGCAAGAUGACGACAUCCAGUCGAAUGUCCUUGAGAUUGUUGGGUCGAAUGUACAAUCGACUUACAUUACGUGCCCUGCAGAUCCUGCUGCAACACUUGGUAUAAAGCUUCCGUUCUUUGUGAUUAUUGUGAAGAAUUCCAAGAAAUAUUUCACAUUUGAGAUUCAAGUGCUGGAUGACAAGAAUGUCAAGAGAGGCUUCAGAGCUUCAAAUUUUCAAGUCUGUAAGUCUAAUCAUAGUUCAAUACUUCUGCAGCCAAGGUUUUAAAAAGCGAAAGCGUGGGGCGAAGCGCUCUCAUACCAAAGCGUAAAGCGAGCUUUUUGAAAUAUAUAUAAAUAAGAAGUUAUCGACCUAAUAAAAGAAAACUACGAAGUUCAGACAUAAUGAAUAAUUAGACUAACAAAAGCAUAUAGCAUACUGAUAUUGCACAUUCUACCCAAGAGCUAUCUAAAUAUACUAGCCACGAAUGUUUGCAUCAUUCAUAUCAUAAUGUAGAUAGUCAUCAUCAUCAUGAUCAUCAUGCCCUAUAAAUUAGGUUUAUUAGUAUUUAGUUAGAAAACAUGAAACAGACCCUACCGCCUAAGACCUGAAGUGCAAAAAAGCGCCUUAAAGCGCGCCCCACAAACGCCUUUCUAAACCAUGUAUGCAGCCUUUCGGGUACUAAUAUAUCUAUGUUGAUUUUUUUCUUCGAGGGAUACAAAUUUUGAUUACACUAGGUCACCAUUUUUUUUCCGCAUAGAGACAUGAUAAACUUCGUUUGGAUAAUCAACGGAUAGGGAUAUGACAGACCUUUUAGGUGACUGAAACUUACAGUUACGAUGACACUUAGGAUAAACUUUGGUUUGAGGGGUUUUAACAGAUCACAGAUAAAUUAUCUUUUAUUAAGUGUGAAUACUUCAAUGAUUUACCAAGUGGAAACUAAAAACCCACAGGAUUUUAUGCUGUUUGACAUGGUAAUUCACUUGGAGCCUCUUCUUGUAGCUUCCCAGUUCAUGCUCUACAUUAUUGUGGCGACAUUUUAGUAAUAGUUGCAACCCUAUAUCAUGAUAUUUCCCUGUUUAUACUUUCAAACACAAAUAGAUAAAUAUCAGCUUCAUAUGGCCUGUAGAACCCCAGUCUGAAAUUGAGAUGUGGUAAUAUGUAAUAUGUCUGAUGAUGGUAAUGUACUUCAGUUAACUGUGUACUUGGUUGGAUUUUUUGAAUUUGCUUGUAAAACAGUGCUUUUCUUUGCUCUAGCCAUGAUACAAAUGUAAAAUGUAGCUUUCAAAAUUCACAACUCUUUUCUCCAUAUUCUGUAGUACAUAGGUCAUGAUUUGAAAUAGCCUGUAGGACCCCAGUCUGAAAUUGAGAUGUGGUAAUAUGUAAUAUGUCUGAUGAUGGUAAUGUACUUCAGUUAACUGUGUACUUGGUUGGAUUUUUUGAAUUUGCUUGUAAAACAGUGCUUUUCUUUGCUCUAGCCAUGAUACAAAUGUAAAAUGUAGCUUUCAAAAUUCUCACAACUCUUUUCUCCAUCUUCUGUAGUACAUAGUUCAUGAUUUAAAAUAGUUGUGUUGUCCUAGACAGCAUGAUUUAAAAUUUGAUAUGUAUAUAUGUGCAUGUAUUGGAUAUCUCUUACCAUUUGAACUUACAGUCACUUGGCCAGUCCCUGUGAUACUUAUUAGCCAAAUGAAGGUCUGAGCUUGGCAGAUGCAGUUCCUAUUUUCAUUCACUCAUUAGUUAUCAUAGUUAUUGACUUAUUUCAGUAUUACUUAUUGAGUUUUCAAUUACUGAAAGCCUAGUUCUUACAACAGUUAGUAUGAUAAUUCGUUAGAUCUUCUUACCGUCUAAAACAGGAGUUAGGAGAGAAAACCAUCCAAAAAGAUCCUUCAAAUCCUGAAAUUACGUCGCAAUCUUUCACUCUACUUGGAUUUGCUGAUCAGUGAAUGGCUGCAAGAAAAGCAGAAAAUUUUCAGAAAUUCAUUGUUGGGAGCAGUAGUGAAGCGACAUUUGCUGAUUCAUUUGAGAAACAAGAGUCUAUAAUUCGGGUUCUUGGAGAUUUUUGAUAAUUCUGGAGAUAAUUUAAAACCAAGUCAGAACAAGAGGCAGCAAAAAAAUGUAAACGCACGAUGGCAGAAGUAGAAAAUGCGUUGGCUAAAGAAGAACAAACGAAGAUGUAAAAGUUAAAGGAGGAUGGGAAACCUUUGCCCAAGGGCUUGGCUGAGGUUCAAUAGUUGAUGGGUUCAACACCAUUGGAUAUUGCCAGGUCUAAUUUAGCGCAGAGUGGUCUGAUAAGCUGGAACGCACUCUGCCCGUGUGGUUCUCAAAAUAGAUACAAAAGGUGUUGUGCAAAGGAUUGAAAGAAAGUUCCUCAGGGCAAACCGGCAAAGCCUUAUUGGUGAAAGAACAGCAGAAAGCUACUUGCUAUGAAAAUCUUCCAACUUAUAGUCAUUAAGUGAAUUGCAUGACAAGCACAGUGCAUUUCUUGUGUCCCCAUACAAGUUCUGGAGACUGCAAUGAAGCUGUAUAUGCUCUCACCUACUACAAAGGAAAACUUUACAAUGGACACUCAAAUGGCUCAAUAAAGGGUAUGGUAUGAAAGGUGUGCGUACGAGUUUGAAACCAUCAUGUACACAAUUGAAGAUUUGUUUUUUUUAUGCAUUUUUUUUUGACUUGGGUCAGUUUCAGAAACUUGGAUUCUUGAACAGUUCUGAUGAUCAACCAUAUGUUUGUGACGAUCAAUAAUAUGUUUAUUGAGAUUCUUUCCAAAUGAUAAAUUGGGUCUUCUAGUUCAUCUAGAAUGA